UGGCCCACAAGUACAUCAUUAGC
RNAcentral lists this microRNA (23 nucleotides) under Blattella germanica (German cockroach). Its description in RNAcentral is "Bge-Novel-1-P2_3p* (star (passenger))". Lineage: Eukaryota; Metazoa; Arthropoda; Insecta; Blattodea; Blattellidae. The record is from RNAcentral.